RNAcentral lists this ribosomal RNA (430 nucleotides) under uncultured bacterium. RNAcentral describes it as "bacterial SSU rRNA". It matches the Rfam family "Bacterial small subunit ribosomal RNA", at positions 355 to 776 of the family's 1533-position model. The record is from RNAcentral.
UGGGGAAUAUUGCGCAAUGGGCGAAAGCCUGACGCAGCGACGCCGCGUGAGGGAAGAAGGUCCUCGGAUCGUAAACCUCUGUCGGGAGGGAAGAACCUCGUAGAGGCGAACAGGCUCUACGACUGACGGUACCUCCAAAGGAAGCACCGGCUAACUCCGUGCCAGCAGCCGCGGUAAUACGGAGGGUGCAAGCGUUAAUCGGAAUUACUGGGCGUAAAGCGUGCGUAGGCGGCUUCGCAAGCCAGACGUGAAAGCCCUCGGCUCAACCGGGGAACUGCGUUUGGAACUGCUUAGCUUGAGUCCGAGAGAGGGUGGCGGAAUUCCGGGUGUAGGAGUGAAAUCCGUAGAUAUCCGGAGGAACACCGGUGGCGAAGGCGGCCACCUGGAUCGGUACUGACGCUGAGGUACGAAAGCGUGGGGAGCAAACAGG